Molecule: RNA transcript, 1093 nt
Organism: Pseudophryne corroboree (corroboree frog)
Lineage: Eukaryota; Metazoa; Chordata; Amphibia; Anura; Myobatrachidae
Gene: IL17REL
Gene name: interleukin 17 receptor E like
Exons: 11
Source: RefSeq, a predicted model, not a curated record
GUUCAGGGUCUCAUUUUUUCAUUAUGUUAUUUUUUGGAAUUGCAAAUUGCCAUUCAUUACAGAGAAUUAAAGAAUGUGGCAUCACGUGUUCCCAGGCUGUUCACUGUAAAAGUAAACCAGCAUAUGACAUUUUUUUCCUCUUUUGCCGGACUGCUCCUGAUUCUUUAUCACCUCAUGCCCUGGAAAAUAUGAAAAUAUCUACAGUUAUGAAGUGUACAGAGCAAAAUCGAUGUUCACUCUAUUUAAAUGUGAUUGGAACAGUAAUUCUAGAUGAAAAUAUUCGCGGUGUGGAAAUUUGCUCCAUGACAUUGGGCUCCCAACAUAAUCAAUGCAUCCAUGUGAGGAUUACAAAGAACAAACUAAAAAAAUCCCACAAGCAAAAGAUACAUGUUCAGGCUAACUGCUUUGAAGUUGGUGUUUCUGACCAUGUUUAUGUAACGAUGAAAACAGUCCCAUAUUAUUGUAGCAUUGAAUUAACACAGCAGUAUCAGGUGGAAGAUUGUCACAACAAGGAUGUGGGAAACAAUGUAAUAUCAUGUAUAUCUGGGAGACUAGAUUACACGGUCAGUGAGGAAAAUAAAACUAUAACGGUACAUGUUUCAAACUUCCUGGAAGAGUAUGAUUACAAUAUCCGGCUCUGUUUGAAACAUUACAGCUGCCGUGAUAUUGGGGCUCAUGCACUGAUAAAAAGGGAAAACUCUACAAAAUCUGUCAUAUUACCAUAUUCAAAGAUUUUACCUUGUCUGUGCAUUGAGGGAUGGACAGCGCUUCCUGAUUCGAGAAGGACACGGCUUUGCCCCUUUAAGGAUGGUUAAUACAUCUGCCCAAUUGCUGCUUUCUACAAUCUCUGGAUUUUUAUAUUUCAUAGUGACAAUAAUCUAAGUGAUCCUGUGAAUAUCAUCCUACCCGAAUCCCAUCUAUGUGCCUGAUUGGAGUUGUGUUUGUGCUGUUUUGUAUUUAUUUUGUUUGUUUUUUGUUUUUAUGUUUUUUUUUCAGCUUCUUUCUACUGCACAUUGUUGUCCUCUUCACUGUAAAUAGCUGUAAAUAAUAAGAUUUUAGGAAUUUAUACAUUAAAUUAAUACAUUUUUUACAA